Molecule: unclassified non-coding RNA, 358 nt
Filed under: Hevea brasiliensis (rubber tree)
Lineage: Eukaryota; Viridiplantae; Streptophyta; Magnoliopsida; Malpighiales; Euphorbiaceae
Source: RNAcentral
AGAGAGAGAGAGAGAGAAUGAAAAGUAUGGUUAAUUUUAUUUGAGGGUAUAAAAGUAAUUUUAUUUUAUUUUUUUAAAUAAUGUCAUCUCAGUUUUGUAACUUGGAAACUUAUUAUUAUUGGUAAUAUGAAGUUUUAUGUUACUCAAAUUAAUGUUAAGGCGAUUUUAUGUUACAAAUUAAAAUUUACGUACCAUGCUAUUAUAUUGUCUUAAGUUCAUAUACUAUGGGUGAAAUUUACCCAAAUUAUUGUGAUUGAUUUGAAUUUCACAAUGCUUAGUUUCAGAGUUACGGAUUGUUUUGGGCAUUGAUUAGUGUGGGAAUCGUUAUUUCGAUUUUUUUUUUCAAACUUGAAUUCUA